AGAUCAAUUUGUUGGUCGUGCCUCGGUACGUACUGGCACUUUUGAUUUCUCCCUUCUGAAGAACCAUGAUGUCAUUCAUUUGGUGUCAUGGGGAAUCAGGACCGUUACUUUGAAAAAAUUAGAGUGUUUAAAGCAGGCCCGUGCUUGAAUACAUUAGCAUGGAAUAAUGAAAUAGGACGUUUGAUUCUAUUUUGUUGGUUUCUAGGAUCGACGUAAUGAUUAAUAGGGAUAGUUGGG
Molecule: ribosomal RNA, 237 nt
Filed under: uncultured Glomeromycotina
Lineage: Eukaryota; Fungi; Glomeromycota
Description: partial small subunit ribosomal RNA
Rfam family: Eukaryotic small subunit ribosomal RNA (bases 38-237)
Source: RNAcentral